UUCGCGGGCAAGCCCGCUCCCACAGAGUGCACAUCCCUAGGAGAUUGUGGAGAUCCUGUGGGAGCGGGCUUGCCCGCGAA
RNAcentral lists this unclassified non-coding RNA (80 nucleotides) under Pseudomonas sp. LAIL14HWK12:I10. Its description in RNAcentral is "microRNA mir-927". RNAcentral also lists the same sequence under 1 other name. Lineage: Bacteria; Pseudomonadati; Pseudomonadota; Gammaproteobacteria; Pseudomonadales; Pseudomonadaceae. The record is from RNAcentral.